GUUUACAAUCCUUUAGCUAGACAGAAAAGUUCUCCAAGUCCUCACUGGACCCAGAAGCGCAACCGGCUUCACCUCUCGCAGUCCAGGCGGGACUUUGCGGCACCUGUCCCAGGCACUCCUGCUUCCCAGAGGGAGGUCUUCCCAGCCAAUCAAGAGGAAGAGAGGAGAAGCUAGUAACAGAAGGAGACCCGCCAUCGUGGCCAACGACACCGCGAAGAGGGAAGGGCGGUCCAUGCACGAGACCCAGCGUCCAAUCAAGCCCAGCAGGCGCCGGCCAGCCGCGGGUGAAUUUCAGUCAGUGCGUCAAAUUCCGUAAAAGAUGCAAUUGCAGUUUAACUGGGAUUCCACGGUGCAUUUCGAUCACUUUGGGAGACCGUUGACAUCUUUACAAUGUUAAUUUUCUCGUUCAAGAUUUCUCUCCAUUUACUCAGAAAGUUUCUUUUGUGUCUGCCAAUAAAGUUUU
This 463-nucleotide long non-coding RNA is filed under the name Homo sapiens (human). RNAcentral describes it as "non-protein coding lnc-PARP4-2:2". The record is from RNAcentral. Lineage: Eukaryota; Metazoa; Chordata; Mammalia; Primates; Hominidae.